AAUCAACGCUGGCGGCGUGCCUAACACAUGCAAGUCGCACGAGAAAGGGUCUUCGGAUCUGAGUAAAGUGGCGCACGGGUGAGUAACACGUGAAUUAUCUACCUUCGAGUGGGGAAUAACUUCGGGAAACCGAGGCUAAUACCGCAUAAUAUCUACGGAUCAAAGAAGUAAUGAGCUUGAAGAGGAGUUCGCGGCAGAUUAGUUAGUUGGCGGGGUAAUGGCCCACCAAGACGAUGAUCUGUAUCCGGCCUGAGAGGGCGCACGGACACACUGGAACUGAAACACGGUCCAGACUCCUACGGGAGGCAGCAGUGGGGAAUUUUGCGCAAUGGGGGAAACCCUGACGCAGCAACGCCGCGUGGAGGAUGAAGUCUCUUGGGACGUAAACUCCUUUCGAUAGGGAAGAUUAUGACGGUACCUAUAGAAGAAGCCCCGGCUAACUUCGUGCCAGCCGCCGCAGUAA
RNAcentral lists this ribosomal RNA (463 nucleotides) under uncultured bacterium. RNAcentral describes it as "partial 16S ribosomal RNA". It matches the Rfam family "Bacterial small subunit ribosomal RNA", at positions 32 to 523 of the family's 1533-position model. The record is from RNAcentral.